Arachis ipaensis is the source of this 127-nucleotide non-coding RNA. The record is from RefSeq and is a predicted model, not a curated record. NCBI's taxonomy places the organism in Eukaryota, Viridiplantae, Streptophyta, Magnoliopsida, Fabales, Fabaceae.
UGUCAAUGUCUAGGGGGUGUUCGUGGUUUAGUUUUUUCAUAAACUGAACUGAAACUGCACUAAACCAUUUUAAAUGGUUUAGAAACUGAACAAAACUACUUUGUCAAAUAAGAAACUGGUUUUAAAU